CGCUGGCGGCGCGCAUAACACAUGCAAGUCGAGCGAGGGCUCUUUUCCCGCAAGGGAGAUGGGUUCCUAGCGGCGAACGGGUGAGUAACACGUGGGCAACCUUUCCUAUCACGGGGGAUAACAGCGGGAAACCGCUGCUAAUACCGCAUGUCGUCAUCGGUCGCAUGGCCGGUGAAAAAAGCAGCAAUGCACGAUGGGGUGGGCCCGCGGCCUAUCAGCUAGUCGGUGGGGUAACGGCCUACCGAGGCGAUGACGGGUAGCUGGUCUGAGAGGACGACCAGCCACACGGGGACUGAGACACGGCCCCGACUCCUACGGGAGGCAGCAGUGAGGAAUCUUCCGCAAUGGGCGAAAGCCUGACGGAGCGACGCCGCGUGUGGGAUGAAGUCCUUCGGGAUGUAAACCACUGUUGGAGGGGAAGACAACUGACGGUACCCUCCGAGAAAGCCCCGGCUAACUACGUGCCAGCAGCCGCGGUAAUACGUAGGGGGCUAGCGUUAUCCAGAAUUACUGGGCGUAAAGCGCGUGUAGGCGGCUGGUUAAGUGUGAUGUGAAAUCUUCGGGCUCAACCCGAAAA
This 577-nucleotide ribosomal RNA is filed under the name uncultured bacterium. RNAcentral's name for it is "bacterial SSU rRNA". It matches the Rfam family "Bacterial small subunit ribosomal RNA", at positions 34 to 620 of the family's 1533-position model. The record is from RNAcentral.